This 1608-nucleotide long non-coding RNA is filed under the name Equus asinus (donkey). Its description in RNAcentral is "lncRNA (ENSEASG00005037480.1)". The record is from RNAcentral. Lineage: Eukaryota; Metazoa; Chordata; Mammalia; Perissodactyla; Equidae.
CUCCAGUGCCUCGUGGUCUUUUUCUCCCGCUUUAGGUGGGAGAGGAUGGCUAGAGUGGGCUGGAGUUGGGUAAGUCCCUUCCCCAGGUGUCAGUUAUGCUCUGCUGAAAGCCCAACAGGUUAGGCUCUGGUUAACUAAUUUCCCCUGAGGCUAGGCCUUGUUAAGAAGCACAGAGUGCUCUGGCUUAUUUCAGAAUCGUUCCUUUUCACCUUCCCUACCAGAAGCCCAAGGGGAUUUUUCUCUGAUAUUUACCGCAGGAACCUGGUCGAGCUCCUAAACAGAUACAGUAAAUAUGGAAGCAGCUGAUUCAAAAGUACAGGGAUAGUAUCAGCAGGCCCCUCUUCUGGUACAUAACGUGUUCCUUAAGACGCUUGGAAAUUCAAACAAUAGAGAUCUCUGUAUAUGCUUCUGGGGAGAGGGAAGAGGAUAAUUAAAAGAGAAACCUGUAAAGGCAAGAUUCCUGUGAGCGAGUUGGUGCUGCAACGUGCUGUCAGGAGUUCAUUAGACGGUCAACCGUGGAGAGCCUAGAUCAUCUGGGGACCUUGAACUUGAGAUGCCAACUUUAUUCUUUAAAAGGAUGAAUUUUAAUUCGACUCAAUUAAAUUCAACAAGUAUUUCUCUAUAUUCUACCUUGGACCGGUACUCAGAAUGUUCUUGCCAGUUAUUCUGAGAAACUGAAGAAACCGUGGUGUGAAUGUUCAGCGCCAGCUAUUUUUACUACUGUUAGAACUGAUCAGAUCAUUUAAGACACAUUUCAAAAUGCAUGACUGAUGACCAUGAGAUACAAUUCCCAAGGUUAAAUCUCCUACAAUCCUUCUAUUCCUUCCAUGCAUGUAAAUUUUGUUUGUCAAUUUUCAACUAUGGUCAGUAUAUUUUAGACUGUGUUUUAAUAAUAUAAAGAAGGGGAAAAAAUGGAAAUCUUAUCUUUCUGUCAAACCAAGCAUGUCAUUUGAGGAUAUAUCCUUGUGACAAACUUUAUUUGAGCUUACCCAAUUCCUAGCUUCAGAAGCUGGAAGAUACAUCGAAAGGUUUAGACUUGUCAAUGAGUCUGCCUGGAUUUGGAUCAAGAAACUUAAGAAAAAAAAUUUUCUCUUUUUGCCUUUAAAAACAUAUAUAAAACAUCAAAGGAUAUUUUCUGCUGUUCUCAAUUGUUGUGUGUAAACUGUGGUAGUUUUUGUUUUUAAUAGAUAAAUAAAAAUGUAAUGAAAAGAGAAUAUCAAAAAGAGAAUGUAGUUACCAAAUGUCCGUUAAGAGCUUUCUCUAAAGAAAAACUCUCCUGUGAAAGUUUGAACAUUGUAAGCCAUUUGCAUCUGAUAGAGAAUGGCAUUGCACACACUGGUAACAUUCAGUCCCUAGUCUCUGUAGCUAUUCUAUCUAAUUGUGUCAUUUCUACGUUUAACAGCUCUGAACUGUGCCACCCCUUGGGUCCUCACAGAUGCCCCCAGAUCGCUUGAAAUGUCUAAAAAGACCUCGGAACAUUAGAAAAUGUCAAUUGUUAGAAUAAUUUCUGCCUCUUACAACAAGAGAAAAUACUAUGGAUUUAAUAGUUCAUUUUUAAAAUGUUUUUAUCCACCAGUAACUGUCUAUUAGGAACAUUUCAGUUAUAAU